Long non-coding RNA from Choloepus didactylus (southern two-toed sloth), 523 nucleotides. RefSeq lists it as uncharacterized. The record is from RefSeq and is a predicted model, not a curated record. NCBI's taxonomy places the organism in Eukaryota, Metazoa, Chordata, Mammalia, Pilosa, Megalonychidae. The transcript has 3 exons.
CGGGGCCGGGCCCGGAAGCGGAAGAAACGGCCCCGGAGCCGAGUGGCGCGGAGAGGGGCUAGUGGUCGGCGCCGGAGGCCCCAGGAUGGGAGCUGGGGCGGGGCCCUGCGCGACUUGGUUCCACCCGCCCCAAAGAAACAGCUGACGGCACUGCCAGGCUGAAGGCCCUACGGCCGCCGAGGACCGGCUAGUCCACUCCUGCUGAGGGAUCUGGAUGGAGAGACAGGGAAGCAGCACAUGGCGGCCAAGAGGCACCGCAGAGAAGCAGGCUCAGAGAAUUUCUGGCUGGUUGCUCGACCCCAUCCAUCACCCUGCGCCCACAGAACAAGAAGGCACAUCUCUUCUCCAACGGAAAGACCUCAGGAACUGGGGUGGUGUGGCUCGGAGGCUCUUGAGACAUCGAGAAACCAGGGCUGGUGGGGAGGGUCGGGGCCGAGGCCUGCCCAUGUGGAAGGCAGGCCUCGGAAGCCUGCUGUCCAAGAAGGCGGGCACGACAGUCACGUGCUCCUUCUGUUUACGUUCA